This 549-nucleotide ribosomal RNA is filed under the name Rutilus rutilus (roach minnow). Its description in RNAcentral is "partial 16S ribosomal RNA". It matches the Rfam family "Bacterial large subunit ribosomal RNA", at positions 1849 to 2596 of the family's 2925-position model. Lineage: Eukaryota; Metazoa; Chordata; Actinopteri; Cypriniformes; Leuciscidae. The record is from RNAcentral.
GAGGUCCAGCCUGCCCAGUGACUACGGGUUCAACGGCCGCGGUAUUUUGACCGUGCAAAGGUAGCGCAAUCACUUGUCUCUUAAAUAGAGACCUGUAUGAAUGGCUAGACGAGGGCUUAACUGUCUCCCCCUUCCAGUCAGUGAAAUUGAUCUAUCCGUGCAGAAGCGGGUAUAAUUAUACAAGACGAGAAGACCCUUUGGAGCUUAAGGUACAAAAUUCAGCCACGUUAAAUGACUCUACAAAAAGCAAGAACCUAGUGGCCAGUGAAGUUUUACCUUCGGUUGGGGCGACCACGGAGGAAAGAUAAGCCUCCGAGUGGACUGGGCUAAAUCCCCAAAGCCAAGAGAUACAUCUAUAAGCCGCAGAACAUCUGACCAAGAAUGAUCCGACUGAAAAGCCGAUCAACGAACCAAGUUACCCUAGGGAUAACAGCGCAAUCCUCUCCCAGAGUCCAUAUCGACGAGGGGGUUUACGACCUCGAUGUUGGAUCAGGACAUCCUAAUGGUGCAGCCGCUAUUAAGGGUUCGUUUGUUCAACGAUUAAAGUCC